GCUUGCUUCAGCAACGCAUAUACUAGAACGGAAAUAAUGCAGGGAAGAUUAGCAUGGCCCUUGAACAAGGAUGACAUAUAAAUUCAUGAGGCAUUCCAUGUUUUU
This is a small nuclear RNA of Nycticebus coucang (slow loris), 105 nucleotides long. NCBI's taxonomy places the organism in Eukaryota, Metazoa, Chordata, Mammalia, Primates, Lorisidae. The record is from RefSeq and is a predicted model, not a curated record.